GGGGGGAACCCUGAUCCAGCCAUGCCGCGUGUGUGAAGAAGGCCUUUUGGUUGUAAAGCACUUUAAGCGAGGAGGAGGCUACUCUAGUUAAUACCUAGGGAUAGUGGACGUUACUCGCAGAAUAAGCACCGGCUAACUCUGUGCCAGCAGCCGCGGUAAUACAGAGGGUGCGAGCGUUAAUCGGAUUUACUGGGCGUAAAGCGUGCGUAGGCGGCUUUUUAAGUCGGAUGUGAAAUCCCUGAGCUUAACUUAGGAAUUGCAUUCGAUACUGGGAAGCUAGAGUAUGGGAGAGGAUGGUAGAAUUCCAGGUGUAGCGGUGAAAUGCGUAGAGAUCUGGAGGAAUACCGAUGGCGAAGGCAGCCAUCUGGCCUAAUACUGACGCUGAGGUAUGAAAGCAUGGGGAGCAAACAGGAUUAGAUACCCUGGUAGUCCAUGCCGUAAACGAUGUCUACUAGCCGUUGGGGCCUUUGAGGCUUUAGUGGCGCAGCUAACGCGAUAAGUAGACCGCCUGGGGAG
RNAcentral lists this ribosomal RNA (516 nucleotides) under uncultured bacterium. RNAcentral's name for it is "bacterial SSU rRNA". It matches the Rfam family "Bacterial small subunit ribosomal RNA", at positions 373 to 880 of the family's 1533-position model. The record is from RNAcentral.